GGUGGAGGGGGCGGAGGGGAUGGCGGAGGAGGUGGUGGAGGGGAUGGUGGAGGAGGUGGUGGGGAGGGUGAAGGGGCUGGUGGAAAUGGUGGAGGGGGUGAAGGGGAUGGCGGAGGAGGUGGAGGGGGCGAAGGGGGUGGUGGAGAUGGUGGAGGGGGUGGUGGGGAGGGCGAAGGGGGUGGUGGAGAUGGUGGAGGGGGUGGAGGGGAUGGCGGAGGAGGUGGAGGGGGCGAAGGGGAUGGUGGAGGAGGGCAUGGUGGAGGAGGUGGUGGAGGGGAUGGUGGAGGAGGUGGUGGGGAGGGUGAAGGGGCUGGUGGAAAUGGUGGAGGAGGGCAUGGUGGAGGAGGUGGUGGGGAGGGUGAAGGGGCUGGUGGAAAUGGUGGAGGAGGGCAUGGUGGAGGAGGUGGUGGAGGGGAUGGUGGAGGAGGUGGUGGGGAGGGUGAAGGGGCUGGUGGAAAUGGUGGAGGAGGGCAUGGUGGAGGAGGUGGUGGGGAGGGUGAAGGGGCUGGUGGAAAUGGUGGAGGGGGUGAAGGGGAUGGCGGAGGAGGUGGAGGGGGCGAAGGGGAUGGUGGAGGAGGGCAUGGUGGAGGAGGUGGUGGAGGGGAUGGUGGAGGAGGUGGUGGAGGGGAUGGUGGAGGAGGUGGUGGGGAGGGCGAAGGGGGUGGUGGAGAUGGUGGAGGGGGUGGUGGGGAGGGCGAAGGGGGUGGUGGAGAUGGUGGAGGGGGUGGAGGGGAUGGCGGAGGAGGUGGAGGGGGCGAAGGGGGUGGUGGAGAUGGUGGAGGGGGUGGUGGGGAGGGCGAAGGGGGUGGUGGAGAUGGUGGAGGGGGUGGAGGGGAUGGCGGAGGAGGUGGAGGGGGCGAAGGGGAUGGUGGAGGAGGGCAUGGUGGAGGAGGUGGUGGGGAGGGCGAAGGGGGUGGUGGAGAUGGUGGAGGGGGUGGAGGGGAUGGCGGAGGAGGUGGUGGAGGGGAUGGUGGAGGAGGUGGUGGAGGGGAUGGUGGAGGAGGUGGUGGAGGGGAUGGUGGAGGAGGUGGUGGGGAGGGCGAAGGGGGUGGUGGAGAUGGUGGAGGGGGUGGUGGGGAGGGCGAAGGGGGUGGUGGAGAUGGUGGAGGGGGUGGAGGGGAUGGCGGAGGAGGUGGUGGAGGGGGCAGAGGGGAAGGUGAAGGAGGUGGUGGAGGGAAUGGUGAAGGAGGUGGUGGAACAACUGGAGACGGAUAAGGUAAGGGUGGAGGAGGGGAUGGUGGAUGAGGUGGUGGAACGGUUGGAGAUGGAUAAGGAUAUGGUGCAAAAGGUGGUUGAGGGGAUGGGGGCGGAGGUGGUGGAGGGAAUAGUGGAACGUCUGGAGAUGGCGGAGGGGAUGGUGGAGGAGGUGGUGGAACGAUCGGAGACGGAUAAGGAAAUGGUGCAGAAGGCGGUGGAGGGGGUGGAGGGGAUGGUGGAGUAGGUGGUGGAAUGGCUGGAGACGGAUAAGGAGAUGGCUCGGAAGGUGGUGGAGGGGGCGGAGACGGAGAUGGUGCAGAAGGUGGUGGAGGGGGAGAAGUAGAUGGAGGAGGUGCAGAAGGUGGUGGAGGGGGAGAAGGGGAUGGAGGAGGUGGUGGAAUGGCUGAAGAUGGGGGAGUGGGCAGAGGGAAUGGUGGAGGAGGUGGUUGAACGGCCGGAGAUGGAUAAGGAGAUAAUACAAAAGAUAAUUCCUUCGUCGGAUAAGAAGCCAAUGAAUUAAUGGCACAAACACCAUAUGGCAAAUCACCGUUUCUUCUUAUAUAUCCAUACCCCUCCACUCCCCAUGAUGUACCCCAUGAAUUCUUGAUUAUCCAGUAGUCAU
RNAcentral lists this long non-coding RNA (1819 nucleotides) under Solanum tuberosum (potato). RNAcentral's name for it is "long non-coding RNA (STUB_LNC002993)". The record is from RNAcentral. Lineage: Eukaryota; Viridiplantae; Streptophyta; Magnoliopsida; Solanales; Solanaceae.